AUUGAACGCUGGCGGCAGGCCUAACACAUGCAAGUCGAGCGGAUGAAGGGAGCUUGCUCCUGGAUUCAGCGGCGGACGGGUGAGUAAUGCCUAGGAAUCUGCCUGGUAGUGGGGGAUAACGUCCGGAAACGGGCGCUAAUACCGCAUACGUCCUGAGGGAGAAAGUGGGGGAUCUUCGGACCUCACGCUAUCAGAUGAGCCUAGGUCGGAUUAGCUAGUUGGUGGGGUAAAGGCCUACCAAGGCGACGAUCCGUAACUGGUCUGAGAGGAUGAUCAGUCACACUGGAACUGAGACACGGUCCAGACUCCUACGGGAGGCAGCAGUGGGGAAUAUUGGACAAUGGGCGAAAGCCUGAUCCAGCCAUGCCGCGUGUGUGAAGAAGGUCUUCUGAUUGGUAAGCACUUUAAGUUGGGAGGAAGGGCAGUAAGUUAAUACCUUGCUGUUUUGACGGUACCAACAGAAUAAGCACCGGCUAACUUCGUG
This 484-nucleotide ribosomal RNA is filed under the name uncultured bacterium. Its description in RNAcentral is "partial 16S ribosomal RNA". It matches the Rfam family "Bacterial small subunit ribosomal RNA", at positions 30 to 507 of the family's 1533-position model. The record is from RNAcentral.